CUUGUUUCCUUGGUGGGUUCGCCCACCACUAGGACAAACAUAAACCUUUUGUAAUUGCAAUCAGCGUCAGUAACAAAUUAAUAAUUACAACUUUCAACAACGGAUCUCUUGGUUCUGGCAUCGAUGAAGAACGCAGCGAAAUGCGAUAAGUAGUGUGAAUUGCAGAAUUCAGUGAAUCAUCGAAUCUUUGAACGCACAUUGCGCCCUUUGGUAUUCCAAAGGGCAUGCCUGUUCGAGCGUCAUUUGUACCCUCAAGCUUUGCUUGGUGUUGGGCGUCUUGUCUCUAGCUUUGCUGGAGACUCGCCUUAAAGUAAUUGGCAGCCGGCCUACUGGUUUCGGAGCGCAGCACAAGUCGCACUCUCUAUCAGCAAAGGUCUAGCAUCCAUUAAGCCUUUUUUUUCAACUUUUGACCUCGGAUCAGGUAGGGAUACCCGCUGAACUUAAGCAUAUCAAUAAGCGGAGGA
Molecule: ribosomal RNA, 464 nt
Filed under: Alternaria sp. CID513
Lineage: Eukaryota; Fungi; Ascomycota; Dothideomycetes; Pleosporales; Pleosporaceae
Description: eukaryotic LSU rRNA
Rfam family: 5.8S ribosomal RNA (bases 89-242)
Source: RNAcentral